GUCCACGCCCUAAACGAUGUCAACUGGUUGUUGGGAGGGUUUCUUCUCAGUAACGAAGCUAACGCGUGAAGUUGACCGCCUGGGGAGGUACGGCCGCAAGGUUGAAACUACAAAGGAAUUGACGGGGACCCGGCACAAGCGGUGGAUGAUGUGGUUUAAUUCGAUGCAACGCGAAAACCUUAACCUACCCUUGACAUGUCUGGAAAUCCUGAAGAGAUUUGGGAGUGCUCGAAAGAGAGCCAGAACACAGGUGCUGCAUGGCCGUCGU
Molecule: ribosomal RNA, 268 nt
Filed under: uncultured bacterium
Lineage: Bacteria
Description: partial 16S ribosomal RNA
Rfam family: Bacterial small subunit ribosomal RNA
Source: RNAcentral